Molecule: ribosomal RNA, 372 nt
Filed under: uncultured organism
Description: partial 16S ribosomal RNA
Rfam family: Bacterial small subunit ribosomal RNA
Source: RNAcentral
GGGGGGGCAAGCGUUGUUCGGAAUUACUGGGCGUAAAGGGCGCGCAGGCGGGCGAGACAGUCUCUCGUGAAAUCCCACGGCUCAACCGUGGAAUUGCGGGAGAUACUACUCGUCUUGAGUCCGGGAGAGGAGAGCGGAAUUCCCAGUGUAGCGGUGAAAUGCGUAGAUAUUGGGAGGAACACCAGUGGCGAAGGCGGCUCUCUGGACCGGUACUGACGCUGAGGCGCGAAAGCUAGGGGAGCAAACGGGGAUUAGAUACCCCGGUAGUCCUAGCCGUAAACGAUGAGCACUUGGUGUAGCGGGUAUCGACCCCCUGCUGUGCCGAAGCUAACGCAUUAAGUGCUCCGCCUGGGGAGUACGGUCGCAAGGCUG